Cyanistes caeruleus (blue tit) is the source of this 112-nucleotide unclassified non-coding RNA. It matches the Rfam family "Y RNA". From Rfam's summary of the family: Y RNAs are components of the Ro ribonucleoprotein particle (Ro RNP), in association with Ro60 and La proteins. The Y RNAs and Ro60 and La proteins are well conserved, but the function of the Ro RNP is not known. In humans the RNA component can be one of four small RNAs -- hY1, hY3, hY4 and hY5. The record is from Ensembl. NCBI's taxonomy places the organism in Eukaryota, Metazoa, Chordata, Aves, Passeriformes, Paridae.
GACUUGUCCGAAAGUAGUAGAUUAUGUAAACUGGUUGUUCAUAAUCAGUUGCAGGUUAAUCUCCUUGUUCUUGUUUUCCUCUCUUGGCACUAUGGCACUAGACUAGUGUUUU